Molecule: long non-coding RNA, 1039 nt
Organism: Musa acuminata AAA Group (dessert banana)
Lineage: Eukaryota; Viridiplantae; Streptophyta; Magnoliopsida; Zingiberales; Musaceae
Exons: 3
Source: RefSeq, a predicted model, not a curated record
UGGUCUUGAAGACACUGCAGUUGGAGCGCAAGCUGUUCUGUUUCGAUCCGUAGGAGAAUCCCAGGGUCGACCAUCGUCGUCCCCGUCGACGGCAUAGUCCGGUUCCUCGAGUUGUUCGAGGUGCUCAAGCUUGAUUCCAAGACCUCAGAGGCCUCUGUCAACAGAAAUCAGAGCUCAAUUAUUGUUCCUUCAGGAAGUUCUGACGAAGAAGGAUCGACAGCAUUUCAGAAUGUUUUACAAGAGAUACAUGGAAGAGACUUCAUGACUGUUCAGGAUACUAGAUUAGGUCAGCUGGAAGAUUCAAGCCCAGCUUGUGAUGGAAGUUGAUGCACUGACAGGAAGAGCCAACCGUAACAUUCUUGAUAGUAAUCAUAAUGAGAAGCUGUUUCAGAUUGGUUUAUUGCUUACAGGAACGUGAAUGGUUUACUGGUUUAUUCUGCGGUAUCCUCCCUCCCUCAUCUCUCCCUCUCAAAGGAUUCUACUGUUUCACUGGUUUGAAGGCACCUUUUCUCUGCUCUAAUGAAGCUAUGAAGCUCACUCAACGCAAUCCCAAGUGAGAGUUCAGCAGCAGUUGCUGAUUGAAGAAGUGUUGCUCGAGUAAGCUGCCAUCGAACUGUCCGGAGAAGUGUCUGCCGCUGUCUAAAUAACAUUCCAUCAAGCGCUUCAUGGAGUUCUCAGUCGCCGGGACGAAUGGCUCCGUUUGGGUUUGUUGUCGAUGAGCUGUGUUGGUGUCGCCAUUGAUUCUGCUGCUGCUACCAGUCGAGAACCGAGUUAAUCUUGGUUGAGCCAUGAAAGAGGUGUUCUCCGGUCGGGUCAUCGUGUCGAACAGGCGCGAGAGUGUGGAGUCGUCUUCGAGGGUAUCAGACACAGACGAAGAUUCCUGCAGCCUGAGCGAGCGUUGUCGCUCGAAGUUCUCCAGCGGUGGCACGGGCUGCAGAUGGCUGUUCUUCUUGUAGAUUCGGCACAGCACCCAGUCAUCCAACUGUACUUUUGGAACAGCAACAAGAAGACAUGAGAAAAAGCAGAGGAAUUGGGCAUC